CGUCUCCGUGGCCGGGCGUCUGCGCCGCGGCGCCUCUCUCGCCGUCAGACUGCCCGGGCGCGGCGGACCGUUCGAAGCGGUCGGUGAUCGC
Molecule: transfer RNA, 91 nt
Filed under: Microbacterium lacticum
Lineage: Bacteria; Bacillati; Actinomycetota; Actinomycetes; Micrococcales; Microbacteriaceae
Description: tRNA-Arg
Source: RNAcentral